Molecule: long non-coding RNA, 280 nt
Filed under: Lathyrus oleraceus (garden pea)
Lineage: Eukaryota; Viridiplantae; Streptophyta; Magnoliopsida; Fabales; Fabaceae
Description: Pisum sativum (pea) long non-coding RNA (PSAT_LNC009277)
Source: RNAcentral
AGAGAUGUAUCGGUUCCCUCAACUUAUAUCAGUGAUAAUAAACCACAACACUAUAAUAUAUUCAAUGUAUUAUUUGUUUUCCCGUGUAGUUUUUGAGCUUCUUAUAUAGCAAAAAUAUUAUGGACUUUUAUCCUUGGAUCUUUGAUUUAAUUUCGUCCAAAAUUUUUGCACAAUUUGUUGGAUAAGAUUUGUUCCAUAAAUAUCUCCAACAAAAAGAUAUGAUUUAGUUUGUCUCAAAUUCAAAUUUAAAUCACAUUUAAAUCUGAUUUGAUCGUCAUAG